CCAAUAGCGUAUAUUAAAGUUGUUGCAGUUAAAAAGCUCGUAGUUGAAUUUCGGGAUUGACGUGAUGGUCGUGCCUUACGGGGUAUGAACUGUUGCUGUUGAUUUCUCACCUUCUGGAGAAACUUGAUGUCCUUAAUUGGGUGUCUUGCGGAUCCAGGACCUUUACCUUGAAAAAAUUAGAGUGUUUAAAGCAGGCAUUUUGCUCGAAUACAUUAGCAUGGAAUAAUAGAAUAGGACGGCAUGGUUCUAUUUUGUUGGUUUCUAGGAUCACCGUAAUGAUUAAUAGGGAUAGUUGGGGGGAUUAGUAUUCAAUUGUCAGAGGUGAAAUUCUUGGAUUUAUUGAAGACUAACUACUGCGAAAGCAUUUGCCAAGGAUGUUUUCAUUAAUCAAGAACGAAAGUUAGGGGAUCGAAGACGAUCAGAUACCGUCGUAGUCUUAACCAUAAACUAUGCCGACUAGGAAUCAGACGAUGUUAAUUUUUUAAUGACUCGUUUGGCACCUUACA
Molecule: ribosomal RNA, 506 nt
Filed under: uncultured Glomeromycotina
Lineage: Eukaryota; Fungi; Glomeromycota
Description: partial small subunit ribosomal RNA
Rfam family: Eukaryotic small subunit ribosomal RNA
Source: RNAcentral